AUCAUGCAGGUGCAGAUAAAAGCUUCUAACUUCAUAUCUGAAAGGUUCGCCUCCUUUCAUGAUUUA
RNAcentral lists this transfer RNA (66 nucleotides) under Platynereis sp. 2 PA-2020. RNAcentral describes it as "tRNA-Ser". Lineage: Eukaryota; Metazoa; Annelida; Polychaeta; Phyllodocida; Nereididae. The record is from RNAcentral.